Molecule: long non-coding RNA, 562 nt
Organism: Piliocolobus tephrosceles (Ugandan red Colobus)
Lineage: Eukaryota; Metazoa; Chordata; Mammalia; Primates; Cercopithecidae
Exons: 3
Source: RefSeq, a predicted model, not a curated record
AACCUCCUGGGCUCAAUGGAUCCUCAGCCUCCUCACUAGUGGGAACUACAGCAGGUGGGAUUCAAGGAAGAAAGCUGGACUCAUUAACAAAGGGACUAUACAAUGUCUCCAUACUCCUGAGAUGCGAUAGAAGACCACAAAGAUAGCGGCCAGAAGAGAGCUUGUUGAUGUCCGGCAUGAAUAAUGCCUGUCUGUGCCCAGAGAGUUUGCUCAGCCUGCCGUGGAUCGUUCCUGCUGGGGGCACCUGCAGAAGUCAUGAAGGUGGGGAAGGAAAGCAUCCACCCCUGCCUAAGGUGAAACUGCAUGGAACCAGCUCAUGAUUCUCUACAGCAAAAGACGGUGGGAAACACUCCACCAAAGACAAUCCUGCUGCUUUUAGCCCCACUUCAUUUCCACUUCCAGAGUUACCUGGUGUCGCCUGGGCCUUUUGAGGUUUCUACAGAGUAGUUAGGUUGCUCCUGAGCUUUUCCCUCUGCUGGAUGAGAUUCAAAAUUUUCAGAGCUAAGUCAAUUUCCAGCUGUCCUUCUGCUAUUCAAUCCUCACAUUGUAUUGACAUUGUCUC